Molecule: ribosomal RNA, 548 nt
Filed under: uncultured Glomeromycotina
Lineage: Eukaryota; Fungi; Glomeromycota
Description: SSU rRNA
Rfam family: Eukaryotic small subunit ribosomal RNA
Source: RNAcentral
UUGGAGGGCAAGUCUGGUGCCAGCAGUCGCGGUAAUUCCAGCUCCAAUAGCGUAUAUUAAAGUUGUUGCAGUUAAAAAGCUCGUAGUUGAAUUUCGGGGUCAGUAGGCUGGUCGUGCCUCAGGUACGUACUGGUCUUACUGAUUCCUCCUUCCUGACGAACCGUAAUGCCAUUAAUUUGGUGUUGCGGGGAAUCUGGACUGUUACUUUGAAAAAAUUAGAGUGUUUAAAGCAGGCUAACGCUUGAAUACAUUAGCAUGGAAUAAUGAAAUAGGACGAUCGAUCCUAUUUUGUUGGUUUCUAGGAUUGACGUAAUGAUUAAUAGGGAUAGUUGGGGGCAUUAGUAUUCAAUUGUCAGAGGUGAAAUUCUUGGAUUUAUUGAAGACUAACUACUGCGAAAGCAUUUGCCAAGGAUGUUUUCAUUAAUCAAGAACGAAAGUUAGGGGAUCGAAGACGAUCAGAUACCGUCGUAGUCUUAACCAUAAACUAUGCCGACUAGGGAUCGGAUGAUGUUAAUUUUUUAAUGACUCAUUCGGCGCCUUACGGGAAA